Molecule: long non-coding RNA, 286 nt
Organism: Sinocyclocheilus anshuiensis
Lineage: Eukaryota; Metazoa; Chordata; Actinopteri; Cypriniformes; Cyprinidae
Exons: 3
Source: RefSeq, a predicted model, not a curated record
GUUUGAUCAGGGUUGGAGCUGAACUCUGCUGGAAAGUAGAUCUCCAGGAACAGGCUUGGGCACCCCUGGACUAGAAUUAGCAAGUAAACAAGGCUGUCCAGUAUUAAGGGAAAUCAUUGUACAACUCAAGCUUUGCUUCUGGCCGCGGGCCAGGCUUCACAGGCACAAUGUUUAUCCAUACUACAGGGAGCUGGACCGUGUGUGUGAGUACCCCCCUUGGGCCCCUGAGCCCGGCGCAGCCCACACAUUCAGCGUAUUCCGCGCGAGCGCUCAGCCUGCAGGCGUG